This 217-nucleotide small nucleolar RNA is filed under the name Lasius niger. Its description in RNAcentral is "Small nucleolar RNA U3". It matches the Rfam family "Small nucleolar RNA U3". From Rfam's summary of the family: Small nucleolar RNAs (snoRNAs) are involved in the processing and modification of rRNA in the nucleolus. Lineage: Eukaryota; Metazoa; Arthropoda; Insecta; Hymenoptera; Formicidae. The record is from Rfam by way of RNAcentral.
AAGAUCAUGCUUCACAGGAUCAGUUCUGUAGUACUUGAUCUCAUUCUCCCUCCCUAACAUGGGAGUAGACCGUAACCACGAUGAAGAGAGAUAGCUCUCUUCCUUGAGCGUGAGAACGACACGAGUUCUCGACUUGUUUCGAGAACUCUGUCAUCGAUGAUCGUUCGCUCUUUGCACUCAGUGCAAAGGGGUUGGGAAGUGGAGCUUUCUGAGUGGU